UAGGGAAUCUUCGGCAAUGGGGGCAACCCUGACCGAGCAACGCCGCGUGAGUGAAGAAGGUUUUCGGAUCGUAAAGCUCUGUUGUAAGUCAAGAACGAGUGUGAGAGUGGAAAGUUCACACUGUGACGGUAGCUUACCAGAAAGGGACGGCUAACUACGUGCCAGCAGCCGCGGUAAUACGUAAGUCCCGAGCGUUGUCCGGAUUUAUUGGGCGUAAAGCGAGCGCAGGCGGUUUGAUAAGUCUGAAGUUAAAGGCUGUGGCUCAACCAUAGUUCGCUUUGGAAACUGUCAAACUUGAGUGCAGAAGGGGAGAGUGGAAUUCCAUGUGUAGCGGUGAAAUGCGUAGAUAUAUGGAGGAACACCGGUGGCGAAAGCGGCUCUCUGGUCUGUAACUGACGCUGAGGCUCGAAAGCGUGGGGAGCGAACAGGAUUAGAUACCCUGGUAGUCCACGCCGUAAACGAUGAGUGCUAGGUGUUGGAUCCUUUCCGGGAUUCAGUGCCGCAGCUAACGCAUUAAGCACUCCGCCUGGGGAGUACGACCGCAAGGUUG
RNAcentral lists this ribosomal RNA (550 nucleotides) under uncultured bacterium. Its description in RNAcentral is "bacterial SSU rRNA". It matches the Rfam family "Bacterial small subunit ribosomal RNA", at positions 355 to 896 of the family's 1533-position model. The record is from RNAcentral.